GACGAACGCUGGCGGCGUGCCUAAUACAUGCAAGUAGAACGCUGAAGGAGGAGCUUGCUUCUCUGGAUGAGUUGCGAACGGGUGAGUAACGCGUAGGUAACCUGCCUGGUAGCGGGGGAUAACUAUUGGAAACGAUAGCUAAUACCGCAUAAGAGUAGAUGUCGCAUGACAUUUGCUUAAAAGGUGCAAUUGCAUCACUACCAGAUGGACCUGCGUUGUAUUAGCUAGUUGGUGAGGUAACGGCUCACCAAGGCAACGAUACAUAGCCGACCUGAGAGGGUGAUCGGCCACACUGGGAGUGGGACACGGCCCAGACUCCUACGGGAGGCAGCAGUAGGGAAUCUUCGGCAAUGGACGGAAGACUGAGCGAGAAACGCCGCGUGAGUGAAGAAGGUUGUCGGAUCGUAAAGCUCUGUUGUAAGAGAAGAACGAGUGUGAGAGUGGAAAGUUCACACUGUGACGGUAUCUUACCAGAAAGGGACGGCUAACUACGUG
Molecule: ribosomal RNA, 495 nt
Filed under: uncultured bacterium
Lineage: Bacteria
Description: partial 16S ribosomal RNA
Rfam family: Bacterial small subunit ribosomal RNA
Source: RNAcentral